RNAcentral lists this ribosomal RNA (505 nucleotides) under Macrohaltica subplicata. Its description in RNAcentral is "partial 16S ribosomal RNA". The stretch from base 379 to 505 matches the Rfam family "Bacterial large subunit ribosomal RNA", at positions 2473 to 2600 of the family's 2925-position model. Lineage: Eukaryota; Metazoa; Arthropoda; Insecta; Coleoptera; Chrysomelidae. The record is from RNAcentral.
UUGAAAGUUAAUUUUAGGUCUUACCUGCCCACUGAGUAUUUAAAUGGCCGCAGUAUUUUGACUGUGCUAAGGUAGCAUAAUCAUUAGUUUUUUAAUUGAAAGCUAGUAUGAAGGGUUUGAUGAAAAAAAAACUGUCUUUUAAUAAUUAAAUUAAAAUUUUAUUAUUAAGUUAAAAAGCUUAAAUUUUUUUAAAAGACGAGAAGACCCUAUAGAGUUUUAUUUUUUAUAUUUAUAUAAUAUUUAGAAUUUAAAAUUAUAUAUUUUAUAAGAAAUUUGAUUGGGGUGAUUGAAAAAUUUAAUAAACUUUUUUUAUUUUUAUUUAUAAAUUUAUAUAUUUUUGAUCCAUAAUAAAUGAUUAUAAGAUUAAAUUACCUUAGGGAUAACAGCGUAAUUUUAUUGGAGAGUUCAAAUCGAUAAUAAAGAUUGCGACCUCGAUGUUGGAUUAAAAUUAAAUUUUGGUGUAGCAGCUAAAAGGUUAAGUCUGUUCGACUUUAAAAAUUUUACA